GGGACGGGGGAGCCUGGUGGGCUGCCGUCUAUGGGAUCGCACAGAGUCGGACACGACUGACGUGACUUAGCAGCAGCAGCAGCAGUUCAAUGAAGGGAAAAAAUGGAACCCCAGAGACCUCACUCUGUCUGACCUGCACCUCCACAGGCUUUAAUCAAUUCAGACAUGAAGUCUGCCACUUGCAAAAGUCCUGAGGAUACAGCAAUCAGCCCUCACUGGAGAUGCAAGACAUAGCAAAAGACUGAGGAAAUAAGCCAAGAAUUAAUCCUCCAAGUGAGACACAUGGCAUUUCUUCUUUCUCUUCUGGUUUUUGCCGCAGACUCAGUCCAGUUUCCUGAGUUACCCUCUGCUUUUUUUGGACUUGAUAACUCACAGAAGAUAAAACUCCCAGUUUGAAAGAUAAUGGAUCACCAAUUAUAGACGUGUCCUACCUGGCCUGCUAUUGAUGACAGUUACUUUUAUUGUAUUUAAUGUUUCAUGAUAGUUGCAGAAAGUCUG
Molecule: long non-coding RNA, 498 nt
Organism: Cervus elaphus (red deer)
Lineage: Eukaryota; Metazoa; Chordata; Mammalia; Artiodactyla; Cervidae
Exons: 4
Source: RefSeq, a predicted model, not a curated record